Xyrichtys novacula (pearly razorfish) is the source of this 1266-nucleotide non-coding RNA. The record is from the annotation of a GenBank genome assembly. Lineage: Eukaryota; Metazoa; Chordata; Actinopteri; Labriformes; Labridae.
UUUUGGGGAUCAUUAGCUAUUUUAUUGUGAUGGUUGCCGGGGCAAUAGGUUGUAUGAACUCAUGAUUAGGCUGGACAGACAGACAGAAAGGUGGCUAGAUAGAUAGACCUCCUUAUAGGCUACCUCUGUUUCUCAUACUCUCACACAAAGAUACUCCCAUUCACUCUCUCACGCACACAAACCCAGAGUGGGGACUAUGUGAUCCAAGAGAAAAAAAGAGGAAAUCCUCUGUUGCUGCAGAGAAAGAGGUAGGUUUAUUAUUAGACUCUUUCUCUCAUGCAUGAACACAUUCAUCAUCCUGAAAGACCAAAUAUUUAUUCCAACUAUGUCCAUUAGUUCUUCUCAGCCCCUGACUGUCCUCAUUAAUACACAUUUGUUUGUUUUCCCUGCUGCAAACUUGUUUUAUUGCACAAAAACUUCAAACACUGCCAUAUAAAUUAGUUAGACUUGUUUAACAUUUUUCAUAAUUGCCUUUUAGUUUUACUCUUGAAAAUGGGUGUUGUUGUGAUUUUCAAAAAAACAUGUGAAUAUAUAAGUUAGUAUGGUUUAUUAAGAAUUUCACUGUUAAACUGUAUACAAUGCUUGUUAAAUGGUUGCAUUUCAGUUCGUGAUUUUUUUCCUUAUCUGUGUUUCAGGGUCAAGGAGGAGGUUGUAAACUCCUCGAGGCCAUGGUUUGGAUAUUGGAGGUAAAUACUGUGCAGAACAUCUCUGAAAUGACACAGAUAGUAAGAAGUGUAGUUUUACAUUUACCCUUCAGUUACUCCGUGUUGUUGUUGUUGUUGCAUUGAGAAGCUCUGAGGUGUUUUUGCCUGGACUGGAGGUUGUGCAUAUGCUUGUGUUUAUGUGUCAGGGUCUGACAGAGCAGUGUCACUUAGCAGAAGAACAUGAGCUAUCUGAGGAUGAAGAGGGAUGAGGCUGGAUCCUGCUGUUUCUCCUCGCCACCAUUAUCCUACAGGAGAGAGACCUGUGGGGGGUAUAUACACACACACACACACACACACACACACACACACACACACACACACACACACACACACACACGUAUACGCGCACAAAACCCACUCACACUCACCCUGGGAAUCGUCUCAGCUGUUCCCCCCACACUCUCCCUAUAGUCUUCCUCCUUGGCCCUAAACACCUCAGUUUGCCGGCUCUGGUUCCUCCCGGCUCUGGAUCGGGCCCCAGCAGCUGACUGCCGGUUUCUGUGGAGGGAUUAAGGCUCUUAAUGGCCACCACUCUGUAAUGGUUUACACUGCAUUACUGUAC